Molecule: ribosomal RNA, 1017 nt
Filed under: groundwater metagenome
Description: bacterial SSU rRNA
Rfam family: Bacterial small subunit ribosomal RNA
Source: RNAcentral
AGAGUUUGAUCCUGGCUCAGAGUGAACGCUGGCGGUGCGCCUAAAACAUGCAAGUCGAAUGGGUUCAGACCCAUGGCGAACGGCUGCGUAACACGUGGGUACCUACCCCGAACUCAGGGAUAACCCUCCGAAAGGAGGGCUAAUACCGGAUGCCCCCGCACGCGAAAGCGCUGCGGGGAAAGAUUUUUCGGUUCGGGAGGGGCCUGCGGCCUAUCAGUUAGUUGGUGAGGUAACGGCUCACCAAGACGAUGACGGGUAGCUGGUCUGAGAGGACGACCAGCCAGAAUGGAACUGAGACACGGUCCAUACUCCUACGGGAGGCAGCAGUUAGGAAUCUUCCGCAAUGGGCGAAAGCCUGACGGAGCGACACCGCGUGAAGGAUGAAGCCCUUUUCGGGUGUAAACUUCUGUUCUGAGGGACGAAAUUUUUGACGGUACCUCAGGAGAAAGUAUCGGCAAACCCUGUGCCAGCAGCCGCGGUAAUACAGGGGAUACAAGCGUUACUCGGAAUUACUGGGCGUAAAGCGUCUGUAGGUUCUUACAAAAGUCUGGGGUAAAAACUCAGGGCUCAACCCUGAGAGCGUCCCGGAAACUCUGUAGGUUGAGCAGUAGAGAGGCAUCUGGAAUGCCGCAUGUAGGAGUAAAAUCCGUAGAUAUGCGGUAGAACGCCAAAAGCGAAGGCAGGAUGCUAGCUACUCGCUGACACUGAGAGACGAAAGCGUGGGGAGCGAAGGGGAUUAGAUACCCCCGUAGUCCACGCCCUAAACGAUGCGAGCUCGAUGUGGGAGGUUCUCAAUUGCCUUCCGUGUCCAAGCUAACGCGGUAAGCACACCGCCUGGGAAGUACGGUCGCAAGACUAAAACUCAAAGGAAUAGACGGGGACCCACACCAGCGGUGGAGCAUGGGGUUUAAUUCGAUAGUAAGCGAAGAACCUCACCUAGGCUUGACAUCUCGGGAAUCCGGCAGAAACGUCGGAGUGCCGCAAGGAACCCGAAGACAGGCGCUGCACGGUUGUCGU